UUUCCGGUUGAUCCCGCCGGACCUGACUGCUAUCGGAUUGAUACUAAGCCAUGCGAGUCUUUGUAGUAAUACAAGGCAGACGGCUCAGUAACACGUAGUCAACCUACCCUAUGGACAAGAAUAAUCUCGGGAAACUGGGCAUAAUUCUUGAUAGAUCAUAAUGCCUGGAAUGGUUUAUGGUUAAAAUGAUUCGUCGCCAUAGGAUGGGACUGCGGCCUAUCAGCUUGUUGGUGAGGUAAUGGCCCACCAAGGCGAUUACAGGUACGGGCUCUGAGAGGAGAAGCCCGGAGAUGGGUACUGAGACACGGACCCAGGCCCUAUGGGGCGCAGCAGGCGAGAAAACUUUGCAAUGUGCGAAAGCACGACAAGGUUAAUCCGAGUGAUUUCUGCUAAAGAAAUCUUUUGCCAGUCAUAAAACCACUGGUGAAUAAGGGGUGGGCAAGUUCUGGUGUCAGCCGCCGCGGUAAAACCAGCACCUCAAGUGGUCAGGAUGAUUAUUGGGCCUAAAGCAUCCGUAGCCGGCUUUGUUAGUUUUCGGUUAAAUCCAUGUGCUCAACGCAUGGGCUGCCGAAAAUACUGCAUAGCUAGGGAGUGGGAGAGGUAGACGGUACUCAGUAGGAAGGGGUAAAAUCCUUUGAUCUAUUGAUGACCACCUGUGGCGAAGGCGGUCUACCAGAACACGUUCGACGGUGAGGGAUGAAAGCUGGGGGAGCAAACCGGAUUAGAUACCCGGGUAGUCCCAGCUGUAAACGAUGCAGACUCGAUGAUGCAUUGGCAUAAUAGCCAGUGCAGUGUCGCAGGGAAGCCGUUAAGUCUGCCGCCUGGGAAGUACGUACGCAAGUAUGAAACUUAAAGGAAUUGGCGGGGGAGCACCACAAGGGGUGAAGCCUGCGGUUCAAUUGGAGUCAACGCCGGG
Molecule: ribosomal RNA, 916 nt
Filed under: uncultured archaeon
Lineage: Archaea
Description: SSU rRNA
Rfam family: Archaeal small subunit ribosomal RNA
Source: RNAcentral